GGCAAGGUGGCCGAGUGGUUAAGGCGUCAGCCUCGAAUUGGGUGAGAUUGGGGGAGGAUAUCCGUCCCGGUCUUAUAUAGACUCAAUAGCUGAUUCCCUAGGGAGCGCCGGUUCGAAUCCGGUCCUUGUCG
Aspergillus novofumigatus IBT 16806 is the source of this 131-nucleotide non-coding RNA. NCBI's taxonomy places the organism in Eukaryota, Fungi, Ascomycota, Eurotiomycetes, Eurotiales, Aspergillaceae. The record is from the annotation of a RefSeq genome assembly.